RNAcentral lists this ribosomal RNA (404 nucleotides) under Fusobacteriota bacterium. Its description in RNAcentral is "Fusobacteria bacterium partial 16S ribosomal RNA". It matches the Rfam family "Bacterial small subunit ribosomal RNA", at positions 355 to 776 of the family's 1533-position model. Lineage: Bacteria; Fusobacteriati; Fusobacteriota. The record is from RNAcentral.
UGGGGAAUAUUGCACAAUGGAGGGAACUCUGAUGCAGCGACGCCGCGUGAGUGAUGAAGGAAUUCGUUUCGUAAAACUCUGUUCUAUGGGAAGAAAAGGACUGUACCAUAGGAGAAAGCUCCGGCUAAAUACUUGCCAGCAGCCGCGGUAAUACGUAUGGAGCGAGCGUUUUCCGGAAUUAUUGGGCGUAAAGGGUGCGCAGGCGGCUUUACAAGUUGGAUGUGAAAUAUUGUGGCUCAACCACAAACGUGCAUCCAAAACUGCAAAGCUUGAGUUAAGGAGAGGUAAGUGGAAUUCCUGGUGUAGCGGUGGAAUGCGUAGAUAUCAGGAGGAAUACCGGUGGCGAAGGCGACUUACUGGACUUAAACUGACGCUCAGGCACGAAAGCGUGGGGAGCAAACAGG